Firmicutes bacterium CAG:534 is the source of this 356-nucleotide non-coding RNA. It matches the Rfam family "transfer-messenger RNA". From Rfam's summary of the family: Bacterial tmRNA, also known as 10Sa RNA or SsrA, is named for its dual tRNA and mRNA-like properties. Its role is to liberate the mRNA from a stalled ribosome. NCBI's taxonomy places the organism in Bacteria, Bacillati, Bacillota. The record is from Rfam.
GGGAUAGUAAAGGUUUCGACAGGGGCCUUGCAGCUGGAGAAGCUAUCCGCAGGCGAUGCGUCAAAUCGCAAAAAUAAAUAUAAACGCUGAAGAUAAUUUAGCAUACGCUGCCUAAUGGCAGCUGUCUGACCGGGUGCACCUACACAUCAGGACCCAGGCAUCAAUGAUGUAGGAAACGACACAGGCUAAGCUUUGCACCUGUGGGCGUAUCAUGAAGCUACUGAAACCGGAAGGAUGUCAGUCCCCGUCCGGCAGAGGGAAUGGGCAGAGCAAUCUGUCAUAAUAGACUGAAUAUGAUAGUAGAAGGACAGGGAAUGGGUCUUUGGACGCGGGUUCGACUCCCGCCUAUUCCACUA